This 2567-nucleotide ribosomal RNA is filed under the name Paris polyphylla var. yunnanensis. RNAcentral's name for it is "bacterial LSU rRNA". It matches the Rfam family "Bacterial large subunit ribosomal RNA", at positions 200 to 2811 of the family's 2925-position model. The record is from RNAcentral. Lineage: Eukaryota; Viridiplantae; Streptophyta; Magnoliopsida; Liliales; Melanthiaceae.
AUCUCAGUAACCGGAGGAAAGGACAUCAACCGAGACUUCCCUAGUAGUGGCGAGCGAACGGGAACCAGGCCAGUGCUCUUGUGAAAUAAAGGCGAACGCUCUGGAAAGGGCGACCAUAGCGGGUGACAGUCCCGUAGCCAUCAAACAGCAAGAGACUCGAGUAGGGCGGGACACGUGUAAUCCUGUCUGAACAUGGGGGGACCACCCUCCAAGCCUAAAUACUCGUAUGCGACCGAUAGCGAACUAGUACCGUGAGGGAAAGGUGAAAAGCACCCCGAUGAGGGGAGUGAAACAGUACCUGAAACCGAAUGCCUACAAGCAGUGGGAGCCUCUUUAUGGGGUGACCGCGUACCUCUUGCAUAAUGGGUCUGUGACUUAGUGUAUCAUGCAAGCUUAAGCCGUUAGGUGUAGGCGCAGCGAAAGCGAGUCUGAAUAGGGCGACUGAGUAUGAUGCAUUAGACCCGAAACCCGGCGAUCUAUGCAUGACCAGGUUGAAGGUGCGGUAACACGCACUGGAGGACCGAACCGUUUAAUGUUGAAAAAUUAUCGGAUGAGUUGUGCUUAGGGGUGAAAGGCCAAUCAAGCCGGGAAAUAGCUGGUUCUCCGCGAAAUCUAUUGAGGUAGAGCGUCGGAUGAAUACCUCAGGGGGUAGAGCACUGGAUGGGCUAGGGGGACUUACCGUCUUACCAAACCCAACCAAACUCCGAAUACCUGAGAGUACUAUCCGGGAGUCACACGGCGGGUGCUAACGUCCGUCGUGAAGAGGGAAACAACCCAGACCGCCAGCUAAGGUCCCAAAGAUUGGCUAAGUGGAAAACGAAGUGGGAAGGCUAAAACAGUCAGGAUGUUGGCUUAGAAGCAGCCAUCAUUUAAAGAAAGCGUAAUAGCUCACUGAUCGAGUCGUCCUGCGCGGAAGAUGUAACGGGGCUAAGCCAGUCACCGAAGCUGCGGAUAUGUUUCUUAGUAUUUAUACUUCGAUCCAUAUGGUAGGAGAGCGUUCCGUAAGCCUGAGAAGGUGUCUUGUAAAGGAUGCUGGAGGUAUCAGAAGUGCGAAUGCUGACAUGAGUAGCGAUAAAGAGGGUGAAAAGCCCUCUCGCCGAAAGCCCAAGGUUUCCUGUUCAACGUUCAUCGGAGCAGGGUGAGUCGGCCCCUAAGGCGAGGCAGAGAUGCGUAGCUGAUGGGAAGCAGGUUAAUAUUCCUGCACCGUCGUAUGAUGCGAUGGGGGGACGGAUCGCGGAAGGUUGUCUGACUGUUGGAAUAGUCAGUUUCUGGUUCAUAGAAGGCGCUUAGGCAAAUCCGGGCGCGGAAUUCAAGGAUGUGGGGCGAGCGGCUUUAAGCUGCGAAGCAAUCGGAAGUGGUUCCAAGAAAAGCCUCUAAGCUUCAGUCAUACGAGACCGUACCGCAAACCGACACAGGUGGGCGAGAUGAGUAUUCUAAGGCGCUUGAGAGAACUCUGGAGAAGGAACUCGGCAAAUUGACACCGUAACUUCGGAAGAAGGUGUGCCCUAUUAGUGUGUAGUGAACAACGAAGCAUGAAUGGGUUGCAAAAAAUCGGUGGCUGCGACUGUUUAUUAAAAACACAGCACUCUGCAAACACGAAAGUGGACGUAUAGGGUGUGACGCCUGCCCGGUGCUGGAAGAUUAAAUGAUGGGGUGCAAGCUCUUGAUUGAAGUCCCAGUAAACGGCGGCCGUAACAAUAACGGUCCUAAGGUAGCGAAAUUCCUUGUCGGGUAAGUUCCGACCUGCACGAAUGGCGUAACGACUUCCCCGCUGUCUCCAACAUAGACUCAGUGAAAUUGAAUUCCCCGUGAAGAUGCGGGGUACCUGCGCUUAGACGGAAAGACCCCGUGCACCUUUACUAUAACUUUACACUGGCAUUCGUGUUUGCAUGUGUAGGAUAGGUGGUAGGCUAUGAAGUCGGGGCGCCAGCCCUGAUGGAGCCACCCUUGAAAUACCACCCUUAUGAACAUGGAUGUCUAACCGCGACCCGUUAUCCGGGCCCGGGACAGUGUAUGGUGGGUAGUUUGACUGGGGCGGUCGCCUCCCAAAGAGUAACGGAGGCGUGCGAAGGUGGGCUCAGACCGGUCGGAAAUCGGUCGUCGAGUGCAAUGGCAUAAGCCCGCCUGACUGCGAGACUGACAAGUCGAGCAGAGACGAAAGUCGGCCAUAGUGAUCCGGUGGUCCGUUGUGGAACGGCCAUCGCUCAACGAAUAAAAGGUACUCUAGGGAUAACAGGCUGAUUUUGCCCAAGAGUCCAUAUCGACGGCAAAGUUUGGCACCUCGAUGUCGGCUCAUCACAUCCUGGGGCUGGAGCAGGUCCCAAGGGUAUGGCUGUUCGCCAUUUAAAGUGGUACGUGAGCUGGGUUCAGAACGUCGUGAGACAGUUCGGUCCCUAUCUGCCGUGGGUGUAGGAAUAUUGACAGGAUCUGUCCCUAGUACGAGAGGACCGGGAUGGACGUACCUCUGGUGGACCUGUUGUGGCGCCAGCCGCAGUGCAGCAUAGCUAUGUACGGACGGGAUAACCGCUGAAAGCAUCUAAGCGGGAAACCAACCUGAAAACGAGUGU